GAUGAACGCUGGCGGCGUGCCUAAUACAUGCAAGUCGAGCAAACAGAUGAGGAGCUUGCUCCUCUGACGUUAGCGGCGGACGGGUGAGUAACACGUGGAUAACCUACCUAUAAGACUGGGAUAACUUCGGGAAACCGGAGCUAAUACCGGAUAAUAUAUUGAACCGCAUGGUUCAAUAGUGGAAGACGGUUUUGCUGUCACUUAUAGAUGGAUCCGCGCCGCAUUAGCUAGUUGGUAAGGUAACGGCUUACCAAGGCAACGAUGCGUAGCCGACCUGAGAGGGUGAUCGGCCACACUGGAACUGAGACACGGUCCAGACUCCUACGGGAGGCAGCAGUAGGGAAUCUUCCGCAAUGGGCGAAAGCCUGACGGAGCAACGCCGCGUGAGUGAUGAAGGUCUUCGGAUCGUAAAACUCUGUUAUUAGGGAAGAACAAAUGUGUAAGUAACUAUGCACGUCUUGACGGUACCUAAUCAGAAAGCCACGGCUAACUACGUG
This 497-nucleotide ribosomal RNA is filed under the name uncultured bacterium. RNAcentral describes it as "partial 16S ribosomal RNA". It matches the Rfam family "Bacterial small subunit ribosomal RNA", at positions 28 to 507 of the family's 1533-position model. The record is from RNAcentral.